This 468-nucleotide ribosomal RNA is filed under the name uncultured bacterium. RNAcentral describes it as "partial 16S ribosomal RNA". It matches the Rfam family "Bacterial small subunit ribosomal RNA", at positions 28 to 507 of the family's 1533-position model. The record is from RNAcentral.
GAUGAACGCUGGCGGCGUGCUUAAUGCAUGCAAGUCGAACGGAAAGGCCCGGCGUUUGCGGGGUGCUCGAGUGGCGAACGGGGGAGUAACACGUGUGUAACCCGCCCUUGACUGUGGGAUAACUUUAGGAAACUGGGGCUAAUACCGGGGAGGAGCUACUGCUGCAUGGGGGGGGUUGGAAAGUGUCGGCGGUGGUGGAUGGACUCGCGGCUUAUCAGCUUGUUGGUGGGGUAGGGGCGUACCAAGGCUUCGACGGGUAGCCGGCCUGAGAGGGUUACCGGCCACCAUGGGACUACGAUACGGCCCAGAAGCGUACCGGCGGCAGCAGUCGAGAAUCUUGCACAGUGGGCCGACGCCUGUUGCAGAGACGCCGCGAGCGGAAUGACGGCUUACGGGUUGAAAACCACUUUCGACUGUGACGAGGCGGGAGUGACGGUAAUGGGUAAGAAAGCACCGGCUAACUACGUG